ACGGGUGAGUAACACGUAGGCAACCUGCCGACAGGAUGGGGACAACAUUCCGAAAGGAAUGCUAAUACCGAAUGGAGUCCGAGGAUGGCAUCAUCCCCGGAUAAAAGAUGGCCUCUGAAUAUGCUAUCGCCUGUCGAUGGGCCUGCGUCUGAUUAGCCAGUUGGCGGGGUAACGGCCCACCAAAGCGACGAUCAGUAGCCGGUCUGAGAGGAUGAACGGCCACAUUGGGACUGAGACACGGCCCAGACUCC
This 251-nucleotide ribosomal RNA is filed under the name uncultured Selenomonas sp. Its description in RNAcentral is "partial 16S ribosomal RNA". It matches the Rfam family "Bacterial small subunit ribosomal RNA", at positions 102 to 339 of the family's 1533-position model. Lineage: Bacteria; Bacillati; Bacillota; Negativicutes; Selenomonadales; Selenomonadaceae. The record is from RNAcentral.